Molecule: ribosomal RNA, 373 nt
Filed under: uncultured eukaryote
Lineage: Eukaryota
Description: SSU rRNA
Rfam family: Eukaryotic small subunit ribosomal RNA
Source: RNAcentral
AGCUCCAAUAGCGUAUAUUAAAGUUGUUGCAGUUAAAAAGCUCGUAGUUGAAAAUCUGGCCGGCACUACUCUCGGCUCCAGUAGUCGGGGUAGCGCCUGGUCAUCCGUAUGGGAAACUAGCUCGACCUUCACUGGUCGGCUAGUGGAUCAUACACUUUACUUUGAAAAAAUUAGAGUGUUUCAGGCAGGCAAUUGCUUGGAUACUGUAGCAUGGAAUAAUGGAAUAGGACUUUGACCUAUUUGUUGGUUUCUCGAGGUCAAAGUAAUGAUUAAUAGGGACAGUUGGGGGCAUUCGUAUUUAAUUGUCAGAGGUGAAAUUCUUGGAUUUUUUAAAGACGAACUUAUGCGAAAGCAUUUGCCAAGGAUGUUUUCA